This 618-nucleotide ribosomal RNA is filed under the name Pseudomonas sp. LS56. Its description in RNAcentral is "bacterial SSU rRNA". It matches the Rfam family "Bacterial small subunit ribosomal RNA", at positions 56 to 669 of the family's 1533-position model. The record is from RNAcentral. Lineage: Bacteria; Pseudomonadati; Pseudomonadota; Gammaproteobacteria; Pseudomonadales; Pseudomonadaceae.
UGCAAGUCGAGCGGUAGAGAGAAGCUUGCUUCUCUUGAGAGCGGCGGACGGGUGAGUAAUGCCUAGGAAUCUGCCUGGUAGUGGGGGAUAACGUUCGGAAACGGACGCUAAUACCGCAUACGUCCUACGGGAGAAAGCAGGGGACCUUCGGGCCUUGCGCUAUCAGAUGAGCCUAGGUCGGAUUAGCUAGUUGGUGGGGUAAUGGCUCACCAAGGCGACGAUCCGUAACUGGUCUGAGAGGAUGAUCAGUCACACUGGAACUGAGACACGGUCCAGACUCCUACGGGAGGCAGCAGUGGGGAAUAUUGGACAAUGGGCGAAAGCCUGAUCCAGCCAUGCCGCGUGUGUGAAGAAGGUCUUCGGAUUGUAAAGCACUUUAAGUUGGGAGGAAGGGUUGUAGAUUAAUACUCUGCAAUUUUGACGUUACCGACAGAAUAAGCACCGGCUAACUCUGUGCCAGCAGCCGCGGUAAUACAGAGGGUGCAAGCGUUAAUCGGAAUUACUGGGCGUAAAGCGCGCGUAGGUGGUUUGUUAAGUUGGAUGUGAAAUCCCCGGGCUCAACCUGGGAACUGCAUUCAAAACUGACUGACUAAAGUAUGGUAGAGGGUGGUGGAAUUU